AUCCCACCCCCAUCACGUCACUUCCGUCACCUCGUCUGCCACCGCACCCGUCGGACCACCGGAUAAACUCCUGCGCCGACAUCACCCAUCUCCUAUCGCCUAUCACCUAUCUCCUUUUCCCUUUUUGAAGACGUUUCCAAAAGCUGUAAAGGGAGAGAUUCUUACAUCCUUCGGUCUGGGAGAUAAUCGUCCUUCAAUUCGAUGAACAAUGGCAAGAAUCACCAUACUCUACACCCCAACGGCUCUUUCCCUUCCCAAUAAGUCUGAAAAGUUCUUGGCUGAGCAAGGACCACUUUGAGCGGAUUCGAAGACUCGACGACGAUAAUAGCCUCAGUUCGCUGUCACGGAGAAGCACUCAAACUAGUAAAAAUAUUCAUUCUAUGAUUAUGACAUGUAACGAAACCGUUGAGCAAAGUACAAACGACGAACAAGAUUACGAGGAAUACGACGAAAGCAUGAUGCUUGAGAAUCUUCCGCAAGAGAUCAAGAAACUCGAGAAUCAAAAGAAACCGAACUUGGAUGAAACUGAGAUAGUUAACUUAGGAGACGAUGAAACAGUGAAGGAAACUCGGAUCAGCAUACACUUAGAAGCUGAACGGAAACAAGAAUUGUUGGAAUUGCUUAAGCAAUAUGUCGAUGUAUUUGCUUGGUCCUAUGACGACAUGCCCGGGCUGAGCACCGACAUCGUCUCUCAUAGGCUACCAACUGAUC
Molecule: long non-coding RNA, 711 nt
Organism: Lycium ferocissimum
Lineage: Eukaryota; Viridiplantae; Streptophyta; Magnoliopsida; Solanales; Solanaceae
Exons: 3
Source: RefSeq, a predicted model, not a curated record